This 338-nucleotide long non-coding RNA is filed under the name Phoenix dactylifera (date palm). Its description in RNAcentral is "long non-coding RNA (PDAC_LNC018336)". The record is from RNAcentral. Lineage: Eukaryota; Viridiplantae; Streptophyta; Magnoliopsida; Arecales; Arecaceae.
UUUUAGGGUUAUGAUGAGAUCAUACCAGUGAGACCUAAAAUUCUAAAAUCCUAAUUUAGAAUAUUCCCAGUCAAAUUGGUAUAUUGAGUCGGGGAUCAAUAUUACCGGAAAGACUGGCACAUCUUAUGUAUGCUCAAUGUAGAGGGUGAUUGAUCUCACAAUCACACGAAGAGACACAGGUGGUGCGUCAACAUUGCCGCACGAAGAGACACAGGUGAAAAAUCCUUGUGCCCACCAUGGACCAUGAAACGCUUGGCGAACUCGAGACAACCCCUCUUAGAAGUCGACACUUUUCUGAGUGGAUAUUGUCACACCCAGUUUGUCUAACAACUGCGAGU